UCUUUAAUCCUUCUGUUUCGGCCGUUUUCUCCAUCUCUUACCUCCAUUAUCGAUUCACCUUCUUCUCUCCUCAUCUCACCGACUCAUACUCUUUUUUGUUCGUCAUCUUCAUAGUUCAAUCAGUAAGGCAUGGCUUUUCUCUUCGAUUUGUCACUUGGAUCUGGAGGGGUUUGGGUUUGUGUAAUGCCUUGCCACUCGGAUUAACCAUUGACGCUACGAUUUUGGUCGUUUGAUGAGUUGUUGAUGCUACCCGAUUGUUGCCUGAGUUGAUUCGAGAAUGGUAGGAUUGAGGUAUACAUUCCACCCUUUUUUCUAAGUGUCGAUGAUGAGGACGAUCUUCCACAUAUUUCUUUGUUGUUGUUAGUUGUCUGUUAUGUUUACAUAUUCAUGUUGAAAUCGGUUUUAUUUUCCUUAUGAUUAUGUGCAAAAAAAAUUUUUUUGUCAUAGCUCAAUAUCCAUGCAUUUUUUUGUUGGGUUUACGAUUUUGGUAUGGCUUCCGAUUUUCCCAUGUGCUUUUACACAAAUUUAUUUUGCUUAUUUCUGUCCUUCGAUCCAGUUAUGUACUCCAUCAUGAGCAUCAUUUUGUUGUUGUAGCACACAUAGGUAUUCCGUUUUGUGAAAUUUUUUAGUACUAUGUUCUGUUAUACUUUUCCAUUUGAUGGUCUUUGUUUCCAUUCGUCCGCUGGCUCACGGUUUAUUGUAAAUGUUUAUGUUUAUUCUUUGUUUAUUAUGUUGUUUGUGUGUACUGGUUUACUGAUUUUUUUCUAUGUUGUUCUGGAUCUUUUGCUUACUGAUUAUUAUGUAUGUCCUUCCAUAUUAAAUUAUGUUCUUUCUGUAUAUUGGUUUACUGAUUGUUGUGUAUGUCGUUCCAUAUGUUUAUCAUGUUGUUUGUGUGUAUUGGUUUCCUCAUUUCUGUACGUGUCAUGCCUUUCAUAUCACUACAUUUGAUGACAUUCCGUAUGAAGUUCAAUUUCCUAAUAUGAAACAAACUUCUUUUCUCUGAGGCAAAAAAAAAAAACAUAAGUUUCCUGUUUCUCUUUGAUUUUUUCUGCAUAAGUUUUCCAUGCACGUACGUUAUAACAAUUUCGUAUUUCUCAUGGUUACGUGACGGUAGGUCUUCAAGCAAAGGUAUGCAACUACCUUCCUUUCAUUUUUUUAACAUUUUCACACAUAUACAUAAACUGCAUUAACAAUUUAUAAUGAAUGUUUCUUAUUUUCAUUGCAGUGGUGGGAGUACAUAACGAGAUAGAAAUUAACCUUCUACAGUCCCUACAGCCUCCUGCAUAAAAAAAGGUCCUUAUCGUGCAUGUAUGUCAUUUCUUUAUUUUAUUUCAUAUGUUUAAGUACAUGGACACAUUAUAAAGACGUAGUCACACUUGUGUAAUGUACAAGGGACUUUAAUAGUAAAUAUUUUUUUAUUUACACUAUGGUUUUCGUUGAUGUUUUAAGAA
Long non-coding RNA from Cucumis melo (muskmelon), 1451 nucleotides. RefSeq lists it as uncharacterized. The record is from RefSeq and is a predicted model, not a curated record. Lineage: Eukaryota; Viridiplantae; Streptophyta; Magnoliopsida; Cucurbitales; Cucurbitaceae. The transcript has 2 exons.